Molecule: long non-coding RNA, 2298 nt
Organism: Homo sapiens (human)
Lineage: Eukaryota; Metazoa; Chordata; Mammalia; Primates; Hominidae
Exons: 2
Source: RefSeq, a predicted model, not a curated record
GUUAUUAUCCAGUGCUGUAAGGACGAGAUGCUUUCACCAGCAGCCGAGUGAGAUGAAAGCGCUUUUCCGAUCCACCGAAUCAGUCCCACUGCAACUGUAAGCUGGAGACCCUCUGGGCCUUGGGAGCUCAGGCUGCCUGGGCAACGCAAGGGAGGACAGGGGCGGAGGGGGAGCCAGGAGGGCCGCACCUGCCUCGCUCGCUGGUCGCCCUCGCUCUGGGAUCCGUCCUGCCGGUCCCAGGCUGUUGAGGGCGCCUCCUCAGAGUCCCUGUGGCCCCCGCAGCUUCCCCGGAAGAAACCCGUGCAUCCAUCGGCUAGCCCAAGCCCAAGCUCCUCCCGGAGCUCCCCGAGCCGGGGCCAGGCCUCCGCCCCUCGGUGCCCGCGCCUGGGCUCCUCCCGCUGCGGGCCGCCCGCCCGGACGCAAGGCACAGGGGGACGCCCCGCCGAGCCGCUGCCCACUGCACCGAGUUUUUCGGAGGCUGGGAGAGGAAAUGCCACUUGGAUUUUAAAACCGUCACCGAUACGCUAUAGGUGAAUAUUUCGCUGGGAUUUUAAAGAGACGAGCUUCAGCCUGCUAAGCCGCGCUCACGCCGCCUCUCCGCCCUGGCCUCCCCGCGUCCGGCUUGGGGCCGGGUCCCUCCCGGGUCAAAGCUACGCCGGGUGCACUGCGGGCUGGGCAGCUCUCCCACUACGCCCAAAGCCCAGGCGGCCGGGACCGCCGUCCCAAAGUCACAAACCACACCCGUGAAGGACGCCCUCCGCAAGACAGAGAGGAGGCUGGGCCUGGGAAGGAACCUCCGGCCCUUCCUCACCAUGCAGCCAAGCCCUGCUUUCUCUACCUCCAGUCGUUUUCUGAGGACCGGCUUGGUGGGUGCUGAUGCCUGCCUGGAAGACCUCACACCCACAGUGUCUUAGAAGAUUCUGAAAGCAGUGUGAGGUACCAGCCUGCUUUAGCGCUAGGAGCUGGCAUGGUGGGGGUCUCAGGCUGCAUCCGCACAUUCUCAGCGGUGCUUUUGCUCCUGGAAUGGAGCCACAAGCUGCUCUGGGCCAUUUAGAGACUCUAAGUGGUUUGCUCAGGGCUAUAUGGAAGUGGGAGGUGGGGGACCUGGGCGCUCUGUAGCAUGCUUAGUCCCCCUGGCAGGGUUAGAGGUUAGUUGACCAGAGACAACGAGUCCAAUUCCCAAACAGACCAGAAUGACCAGCAAAGGAGAAAAGAACAAGGACACAUUGCAGCCAAAAUGGAGCUAGAAUCUUGCCUCUGUCCAUCCUUCACUGGAGUUAUCCUGGAUGGAGAAGGAACCAUAUCACCUGCAAAGCCUGGAAGGGGAGCCCUGCUGUGAGGUGAGCCAGUAAGUCUGUGAGUUCAGGAGGGAGCACACGCUUGUCUGUCCAUCUGUUCAUGAGCAGGCGCUCUUGAGUCUUCCUAAAUAUUGCCCAGAGCUCUCCAUCCAGAUACUGUCCUUUCCCUUCCUCUCCAUUGAUGGUCUCCAAGCCUUUCUUAGCUUUCAUCUUCCCCUAAGGAUUCCUUCUCCCAAAGCUCCAGCCCAUUCCAAUGUCAACUGCAUUCGUUGUUUUUGUUACUCUCAUUGUGUCAAAUGGGUUCUUUCCUAUGCAACUAGAUUGUAGGUUGCUCCAAGGUAAACACCGUGAUUUCUAGUUCCUUUGUUUCUACCACUGCAGGACUGUAGGAAGCCCAGUUGUAGGCAUCACUAGGACUCAGUAAUUACAUAAUUGCUCAGAUAAUUGAGAGAAUGAUUGAUUGAUUAGUGGUCAUUAAUGCCAUAAAAUGAAGGAAUUUCGCCCCUCACAUUUUCAAGAACCUAUGAGUUCGAAGAGACCUGAAAGAACAUUUUUAUGGGAGCCUACACCAGUGCUAUCACCUAAAGUGCGUGACCUUAGGGAAGUUGCUUCACCCCUUGUUUCUGUGCCUCCAAAAUACUGGUGUUAAUACAGUAAUUUCUGAUUCCUUCCACCUGUGCCCUGCUCAGCGAUCCAGUGUUCAAGCUGGUCAUCAGGAGAAAGCUACUUAUGAUUUCCUAACAAGCCACCACAGAACAUCACAUUCCCAAACAUGCUCUUCACCGUCCCUGCUGUCCCCACGUGCCUAGCCCUGGUGUGGGCAGGAAUGAGUGGGAUUGGGAUGUUUUCUCACAGGUCUUUCUCAGGUGAGGCCCCAGGCUGUGACCAGGCCCCUGCCCUGCAUGUGACUCAGGCCUAGCCCCUGCUGGGGCAGGAAUGCCACCCAGCACAGCAUCCUACUGGUGCCUGAAUAAAGAAUGGACUGGAGGUUCACCUGAAA